GACGUAGGGUGCAAGCGUUGUCCAGAUUUAUUGGGCGUAAAGAGCUCGUAGGCGGCUUGUUGCGUCGACUGUGAAAACCCGCGGCUUAACCGCGGGCUUGCAGUUGAUACGGGCAGGCUAGAGUUCGGUAGGGGAGACUGGAAUUCCUGGUGUAGCGGUGAAAUGCGCAGAUAUCAGGAGGAACACCGGUGGCGAAGGCGGGUCUCUGGGCCGAUACUGACGCUGAGGAGCGAAAGCGUGGGGAGCAAACAGG
Molecule: ribosomal RNA, 253 nt
Filed under: uncultured bacterium
Lineage: Bacteria
Description: partial 16S ribosomal RNA
Rfam family: Bacterial small subunit ribosomal RNA
Source: RNAcentral